UCGGUUCUUUUUUUUAGUUCCUUGCUUCUCAUGGAUGACCGAGCCAAACAGAGAAGCUGAUUAAUCCGUAAGGAGCAACCCAUG
Photobacterium ganghwense is the source of this 84-nucleotide non-coding RNA. NCBI's taxonomy places the organism in Bacteria, Pseudomonadati, Pseudomonadota, Gammaproteobacteria, Vibrionales, Vibrionaceae. The record is from Rfam.